RNAcentral lists this long non-coding RNA (757 nucleotides) under Equus caballus (horse). RNAcentral describes it as "lncRNA (ENSECAG00000033609.3)". The record is from RNAcentral. Lineage: Eukaryota; Metazoa; Chordata; Mammalia; Perissodactyla; Equidae.
CGAUUAGACUGGAGAGGCUGACAGAUAGGAUAAUGGAAAGUGGGUGGUGGGAGAAAAAGUUGGAAAGUUGAUUUGGGGCAAGAUGAAGAAACUUGAAUGCCACGUCAAAAACCUUUAACAUAAUCUCCUAGUAACGGGGCGCUAACAGCGGUCUUCCAGCUGAAGGGCACCGUCCUCGGAUCUGUAUUUGGAAAGACAACUCUGGUCGCAGUGUGAGAUGUGGAGGAGAGGUGGGGAAAACUGAGAGGGAGGCUUCUGAAAACGGCUAGGCAGGACAUCUGAGCGAGGGCAAUAAGAGGAGCAGGGUUAAGAAGAAGGGAUGGAUUCCGGAGAAUUCUUUAAGUGUCUGUUGUCGACACAGAAUCCAAAAGAGAUCUGCUUCAUUUUUCGGUGGAGAAGCUCUAGAACAGUGUUGACCAAUAGAACUUCUGCUCUGACGGACACAUGCUGUAUCUGUGUUGUUCAAUACACAGGCACUAGCCACACGACCUUUGAAAGUAAAAUGAGGUCAUCUGAAUGGGCCCUAAUCCAACGUGACUGGUGUCCCUACAAGAAGAGGACAUUAGGACAUAGGCACACAGAGGGGAAGACCAUAUGGAAACACGUGGAGAAGAUGGCCAUCCACGAGACACGGAGAGAGGCCUCAGAAGAAACCAACCCUGCUGACAUCGUGCUCUUGGACUUCUAGCCUCCAGAGUUGUGAGAAAAUAAAUUUCUGUUGUUUAAACCACCCAAUGUGUGGCAUUUGUUACUGCUG